RNAcentral lists this transfer-messenger RNA (679 nucleotides) under bacterium. It matches the Rfam family "transfer-messenger RNA". From Rfam's summary of the family: Bacterial tmRNA, also known as 10Sa RNA or SsrA, is named for its dual tRNA and mRNA-like properties. Its role is to liberate the mRNA from a stalled ribosome. To accomplish this part of the tmRNA is used as a reading frame that ends in a translation stop signal. The record is from RNAcentral.
GGGGAUGUAAUGGUUUCGACAUGAUUAGGAAGCUUUUAACCGCAGUGGGGUAAGCCCCUUAUCGCUUAAAAGCAAUAAAUGCAAACUCUAAGAAUGAAGUAGAACCAAGUGUUCGCAGUGAAGACUUCGCUAACGAAGAAAGAGUUAAUUUAUCUUCCUUCGAAAUGAGCAAACUUUCACAAUUUGCAAUUGCACUAGCUUAACUACAAAGUUAGUAGUAGCAAACCAAUUUUUCUUAUCCUAGCUAUUUUUCACUAGGAUAAGAGUGACAUUAAGUCACCCUAAUUUUUUCUUUCAUCUUCUAUCUUGCUGGUUGGUUUUUAAUUUUCCCAAUCAGUAACCUAUAGAAACGCUAUAGGUUUAGAUUUUUAUUUUUCAUUAAGUUUAAUCCUCCUACGUUUCUUGCGUGUUAAGGCCUUUUUCUCCUUAACAUCUUAGAAAGAUAGUCUUUGACAUGAUGAUUAAUUUUGAUUGUUGACAAAAUUAAUCCUUCAUGGAUAUAUCUCUUUUUUAUUUUUAAUUUCAUAAUUUUUCCUUUUUUAUUUUUUUCUAAAAUUUCAUUUUAAACUUCUUUUAUUAACCGUUUAGUUCCGUUUUAAAAGAUGGAACUGAACUAAACUUGUAUAUGUUAUUAGCAACCUAAUUGUGGAAACGGGUUCGAUUCCCGUCAUCUCCACCA